CAGUAGCCGCGGUAAUACGGAGGGUGCAAGCGUUAAUCGGAAUUACUGGGCGUAAAGCGCACGCAGGCGGUUUGUUAAGUCAGAUGUGAAAUCCCCGAGCUUAACUUGGGAACUGCAUUUGAAACUGGCAAGCUAGAGUCUUGUAGAGGGUGGUAGAAUUCCAGGUGUAGCGGUGAAAUGCGUAGAGAUCUGGAGGAAUACCGGUGGCGAAGGCGGCCCCCUGGACAAAGACUGACGCUCAGGUGCGAAAGCGUGGGGAGCAAACAGGAUUAGAUACCCGCGUAGUCCCUGUCUCUUAUAC
Molecule: ribosomal RNA, 301 nt
Filed under: uncultured bacterium
Lineage: Bacteria
Description: partial 16S ribosomal RNA
Rfam family: Bacterial small subunit ribosomal RNA
Source: RNAcentral